RNAcentral lists this long non-coding RNA (402 nucleotides) under Brassica napus (rape). RNAcentral describes it as "long non-coding RNA (BNAP_LNC015745)". The record is from RNAcentral. Lineage: Eukaryota; Viridiplantae; Streptophyta; Magnoliopsida; Brassicales; Brassicaceae.
UUGUGGGUCGUCAUCUUCACCCAGCCAUUUAGGAAACAUCUCUUCAACUGAGUCCUUCAUAAUCAUUUUCCUCACACGCACCUGCAAUAUUAACUCAAAACUCAGCCACCAUAACACAUGACUCAGCCAUCAAUUAUAAUAAUUCAUCAAUUAAAUAACUCAUAACUCAGCCACCAAUUACUUAAUAAUUCAGCCAUCAAAUAACUCAUAACUCAGCAACCAUUUUCUUAAUAAUUCAGCCAUCUAACAAUUCAAAACUCAGUCACCAAUUACUUAAUAACUCAGCCAUCAAAAACGACUCAGCCUUCUACAAAAUAAUAACUCAACCAUCAUAUACUCAUAGCUCAGCCACUAAAUAACUCAUAACUCAACGUUAAACCUUACCUCGCCAUGAUCUUUGAU